AUGAGAGAUGGCUGCGACACCACCAAGAAGAGCAAGCUGUCGUGGUCCAAGAGCUUGGUGCGGAAGUGGUUCAACAUCAGGAGCAAGGCCCACGACUUCCACGCCGACGACGCCGCCGCCGCCACCGGGAGGAGGGGCGACGACGACGAGUGGAGGGGCAGCAGCUUCGCCAGGAACGAGCCGACCAGCGCCGCCAAGAAGAGCCGGACGGAGCGGCCGUCCAGGAGGAGCCGCGAGCACUCGAGGCGGGGCAAGAUCGACCUCGACGCCGCCGAGGCCACCGUCACCAUGGACUACAGGAUCUUCGUUGCUACGUGGAAUGUGGGCGGCCGAUCCCCUCCCGGCGGCAUGGGCCUCGAGGACUGGCUCCACGCCGCGCCGCCCGCCGACAUCUACGUCCUCGGGUUCCAAGAGAUCGUGCCGCUGAACGCCGGGAACGUGCUGGGCACGGAGGACAACGGGCCGGCGAGGAAGUGGGUGUCGCUGAUCAGGAGGACGCUGAACGACCUGCCGGGCGCCGGCAGCGGCAGCGGCAACGGGAGCUUCCGGACGCCGUCGCCGGCGCCGCCGGACCCGGUGGCGGAGGCGGACGACGACUUCGAGGGGGCGAGGCAUCAGACCAACAACGCGGCCUUCUUCCACCGCCGGUCCUUCCACAGCCGGAGCCUGCGGAUGGAGGGCGACGCCCUGGCGCCGCAGCCCAGGCUGGAGCGCCGGUACAGCGUCUGCGACCGCGCGAUCUACGGCUCCCGCCGGCCCAGCGACUACGAGGCGCACUGCCGGUGGGGCGGCUCGUCGGACGACGACAACAACACCGGGGAGUCGCCCAGCACGGUGUACUCGCCCAUGUCGUACGGGUACGGCCACGCGCCGUCCCUGGACGACGGCCAUAGGCCAGCUUCUGGUCACACUAGAUAUUGCCUGGUUGCAAGCAAGCAAAUGGUGGGAUUGUUUCUGAUGAUUUGGGCUCGGAAGGACAUUAGGGAUGACAUCAGAAAUCUCAAGGUUUCCUGUGUUGGCAGAGGAUUGAUGGGCUACCUUGGGAACAAGGGUUCGAUUUCGAUUAGCAUGACAUUGCACCAAACAAGCUUCUGCUUCGUCUGCAGCCACCUGACGUCGGGGCAGAAGGAAGGCGACGAGAUGCGGCGCAACUCAGAUGUGCUUGAGAUCCUCAGGAAGACCAGGUUCCCAAUGGUUUACGGGCAGUAUGAGCGCUCACCGGAAACUAUCUUAGAGCAUGAUCGAAUCAUCUGGCUCGGGGACCUAAAUUACCGAAUCGCACUUUCCUAUCGGUCAGUGAAGGCCCUGGUGGAGAUGCGCAAUUGGAAAGCAUUGCUGGAGAAAGAUCAGCUGAGGAUUGAACAAAGAGGCGGGCGGGUGUUUGCCGGGUGGAACGAGGGGAGGAUAUACUUCCCGCCGACAUACAAAUACUCAACCAAUUCUGACAAGUAUGCCGGGGAGGACAUGAACCAGAAGGAAAAGAGGAGAACUCCUGCAUGGUGCGAUCGCAUUUUGUGGUAUGGAAGGGGCCUAGGUCAACUAUCAUACGUUCGAGGCGAGUCUCGGUUCUCAGAUCAUAGGCCAGUCUACAGCGUAUUCAGUGCAGAGGUGGAGUCGAUCAACCACAGUCGAAUUCAAAAAAUGAGUUGUUCAAGCUCGCAGUUGGACAUCGGAGAGCUACUGCCCUACUCUUACGGAUACACCGACAUCAACCCGUAUGGCUACACCGACCUGAAUUUCUACUGA
This 1746-nucleotide ribosomal RNA is filed under the name Triticum aestivum (bread wheat). RNAcentral's name for it is "partial small subunit ribosomal RNA". Lineage: Eukaryota; Viridiplantae; Streptophyta; Magnoliopsida; Poales; Poaceae. The record is from RNAcentral.